UCUAGCAAAGGAUAAUUGUAUUGGUUUUGUUUUGACCUUCACUUGUCCAGUGGCCUUUAUUAAAGGGAGACAAGGUUGUUAGUGCUGUUUGCGGAGGGGAAUCCGCGUCUUAUAGGCAUGCUGCAACGCCAUGACGCAAUUCACACUCUCCUGCUGCAACACAAUAAAAUAUGUAUCACCAGAGUGCCGACGAUGGGAUGCUUCUUUGGGAGUAAAUAUCAGUUAAAUAGUGAAGAGGGGAGGGGGGUGUGGCAUUGACCAUCACCCAUUCACCAAAACAAUACACGCCCAGAGCUCGUGCAUUCGUAGCGUAAAAAGCCGCGCCGGGGAUCAGGUUUGGUCACUGUCAAAUCUGCUCUUGGACUCUCGCUGGGUGAACAGGCCAGUCAGCCCGUCGGCAGCCCGCCGUGCUCCUUCCCUCCGCAGGCUCCGGGCUGCACGCAGGGAUCCUCAUCGCAUUACGCAGAUUCGAAGCCUGGAUGCAGAGCGAACCAAAACCAAUGGCCUGCACAUGAAGAUGCGAUAACUACGAUACGAUUUAAGGCAUGUUAGCGCCAUGAGUGCAGGUUGUGUUGAAAUAGAUUGAAUGCCUUUAAAAUCUCAAGUGAAUCCCACUUCAAAAGCGUGUCUCUGGAAGGUCGUCUGCAGCCUCUACAGAUCCCCCGUGGCUCUUCAUCUUCCUUCUUUUUGUUGCUCUCUUUUCUGCCUCUCCCUUUUCUUGUGUUUAUUCGAUCUGCUGUGCCCCUAGCACAGCUAUGGCAGAAGCAACACACACAAUAAACCCAUUGUAGCACAGCCAAGUGAAAGGCUGGUUGGGAAAGUCAAACGCUCUGUUAUUCCAUCCCAGCAAAUACAAUCUCUGGAGAUGCAGUGCCAACUGGAGAGCCCCCAAGGGGCGUCAAGGUAUUCUCAGAAAUGCAGACAAUCACACAAGCUAACUGCUCUGUUGUUUCCCCCCAGUCCCUUCUCCUUCCAUUA
Molecule: long non-coding RNA, 978 nt
Organism: Perca fluviatilis (European perch)
Lineage: Eukaryota; Metazoa; Chordata; Actinopteri; Perciformes; Percidae
Exons: 3
Source: RefSeq, a predicted model, not a curated record